This 246-nucleotide ribosomal RNA is filed under the name Ilyonectria panacis. RNAcentral describes it as "partial large subunit ribosomal RNA". It matches the Rfam family "Eukaryotic large subunit ribosomal RNA", at positions 398 to 665 of the family's 3401-position model. Lineage: Eukaryota; Fungi; Ascomycota; Sordariomycetes; Hypocreales; Nectriaceae. The record is from RNAcentral.
CGUGAAAUUGUUGAAAGGGAAGCGCUCAUGACCAGACUUGGGCUUGGUUGAUCAUCCAGGGUUCUCCCUGGUGCACUCUUCCAGCCCAGGCCAGCAUCAGUUCGCUGUGGGGGAUAAAGGCUUUGGGAAUGUGGCUCCUCCGGGAGUGUUAUAGCCCAUUGUGUAAUACCCUGUGGUGGACUGAGGUUCGCGCAUCUGCAAGGAUGCUGGCGUAAUGGUCAUCAGCGACCCGUCUUGAAACACGGA